UAGGGAAUAUUGCUCAAUGGGCGAAAGCCUGAAGCAGCAACGCCGCGUGCGCGAUGAAGGUCUUCGGAUCGUAAAGCGCUUUUCUGCGAGAUGAGAAAGGACAGUAUCGUAGGAAUAAGUCUCGGCUAACUACGUGCCAGCAGCCGCGGUAACACGUAGGAGGCGAGCGUUAUCCGGAUUCACUGGGCGUAAAGCGCGUGCAGGCGGUUUGGUAAGUUGGGCGUGAAAUCUCCCGGCUCAACUGGGAGAGGUCGUUCAAUACUACCGGACUAGAGAGCAGAAGAGGAAGAUGGAAUUCCCGGUGUAGUGGUGAAAUGCGUAGAUAUCGGGAGGAACACCAGUGGCGAAGGCGAUCUUCUUGUCUGUUUCUGACGCUCAGACGCGACAGCUAGGGUAGUAAACGGGAUUAGAGACCCCGGUAAUCCUAGCCGUAAACGAUGUGAACUUGGCGUCGGUGGCUUAAACACCAUCGGUGCCGCAGCAAACGCGAUAAGUUCACCGCCUGGGGACUACGGCCGCAAGGUUA
RNAcentral lists this ribosomal RNA (526 nucleotides) under uncultured bacterium. RNAcentral describes it as "bacterial SSU rRNA". It matches the Rfam family "Bacterial small subunit ribosomal RNA", at positions 355 to 896 of the family's 1533-position model. The record is from RNAcentral.